This 482-nucleotide ribosomal RNA is filed under the name uncultured bacterium. RNAcentral describes it as "partial 16S ribosomal RNA". It matches the Rfam family "Bacterial small subunit ribosomal RNA", at positions 30 to 507 of the family's 1533-position model. The record is from RNAcentral.
AUUGAACGCUGGCGGCAUGCCUUACACAUGCAAGUCGAACGGUAACAGGUCUUCGGAUGCUGACGAGUGGCGAACGGGGGAGUAAUACAUCGGAACGUGCCCGAUCGUGGGGGAUAACGAAGCGAAAGCUUUGCUAAUACCGCAUACGAUCUACGGAUGAAAGCAGGGGACCGCAAGGCCUUGCGCGAACGGAGCGGCCGAUGGCAGAUUAGGUAGUUGGGGGGAUAAAAGCUUACCAAGCCGACGAUCUGUAGCUGGUCUGAGAGGACGACCAGCCACACUGGGACUGAGACACGGCCCAGACUCCUACGGGAGGCAGCAGUGGGGAAUUUUGGACAAUGGGCGAAAGCCUGAUCCAGCCAUGCCGCGUGCAGGAUGAAGGCCUUCGGGUUGUAAACUGCUUUUGUACGGAACGAAAAGACUCUGGUUAAUACCUGGGGUCCAUGACGGUACCGUAAGAAUAAGCACCGGCUAACUACGUG